Molecule: unclassified non-coding RNA, 2238 nt
Filed under: Hevea brasiliensis (rubber tree)
Lineage: Eukaryota; Viridiplantae; Streptophyta; Magnoliopsida; Malpighiales; Euphorbiaceae
Source: RNAcentral
AUUGCUAUCAUAAUUCUUCAAUACCUAUCCGCCAAUAUGUUAAAGUUCUUAGAAAAUUUGAGGAAAUAUCUGACCAUAGCUCGUAUUUUAUUAAUAAUUGUAACAGCCAAUAGUAAGAGAGAUCGUCUUAACUAAUUCUGAUUAUUAACCCAGUAGUAAUCGACUAAACCUAAUUUGACUUGCAUGAUAUAAAGCUCAUUCAUUUCAUUUUAGAAAACUAACAAUGAUGGUACACCAAACUAUUGCUGAAUAUAGGCCGAUAUUCUGCAAAUAAUUCUUCACAUAGUAUCGUAUGAUCACAGGUGCAGAGAACAUUUCUCUCAUCACUAGACCUCAGAUGAGAUUAGUCGGACUAAAGAAAACAAUUAGAUCCUGACGGGGGCCCUCUAAACAGUUUACGUCACCAAAUUUUCAAUGUUUAAUGUCAUGGGGGCAAUCAACUUCAAAAUGCUUUGAAAAAAAAAAAAAUUCAACUUCAAAAUGACUGGCAACGGUCCCUUUCCCCACAAUUAUGAUGGUAUCUAGAUCCAGAAGUUACAUAUUCCUAUUCCACAUUAGCUGUAGGGUCGUCUUUGUUACCCAAUAUCAUAAAUUUGUUUUGACUCAAAAUGAUUACUCGGUUGACAAUGCUGGCUUUCAAAUUUAGAAAUCUUAUCUGACGAAAGGUUGUUCAUGAGGAUGAGGAAUUGGUACUGGAUAGGCCUAUUAAAUGAGUAGGUACGGCCAGGUUUGGGUUAGGCUCAAUUGGGCCUAGACUUUGCUCAUUGACCAAGCUUUAAGCUUAGCUGAAUAAAAUCGAUUGCCCCAGAAAUUUAUUGGGUUGGGUCAGCUCCAAAAUCGAUAUCCCAGGACAGGCCCAUUUUGAAAGUGAGCUUGAUAGUGCAUAUUGGGCCAGGAAAGCAAGCAGGCAUCCCAGGCCCGUGAACACUGACUUUAAUAUCAAGACCAUACCUAGCAAAGGCUAGCUAAACAUUUGUGUCGAAAAUUUUUAUUCCUUUUGGAAUGUUCAGGCGAGGAAUGGGGAUGCCUACUAAGAGGCUUUACACUAGGCAUAAGAGCACCAUUACCUUAUACUGAUAUUUGAUAUCUAUAAGCUAUAAAAGGAGCCCUAAGAAUUCAAACUCUAGACCAUCAAGUCAGAGAUCUUGAUGCUAUAUCAGAGAACUACUCGGCUUGAAAAUUCAAAUUUACAGGUGAAAUUCCAAAAAAAAUUCUAUCUCUAAUACAAUAAAGCCCCUUUACCAACCAAGGGCCUUGGUGUUAGUGACAACAGAACUGUCUAUCCCUUGCAGAUAGAAACAACAAUUAAAAUCCAUCAUAUAAUCAAAUCCCUUUGCUGGCAUGUCCUUACUUUAAACAUCAUUAUUCUUACUCGUACUUGCUUAAGCAGUAUUUUCACUUUAGGAUCCCGCGUUUAAUAAUGCACUUAUGAACAUAUAAAUGCAUGAACAGUUCCACAAAACAUAUAAGGGGGCGUAUAAUUCAGCAAAAUCAUAUAGUUCUGUGUGCAUAAUGCUCAAAUUAGACGGCAUACAUGCAUAGAAGCAUUGCAGCAACGAUACUGGCCUAGAAAAUAAUAGGGUAUCUAAUAAUCAGAAAUUUUUACCUUGAAGCUCUAUGCGUUGGGCAAUCAAAUUCACAGCAGCAUUUGCCGAGGAAAAUGCCCCAUGAAAGCUUUCUUGAUAGGAAAUGGAUUCCAAUUCUCUAGCCAUCUUCAACAAAAUUUCACCCAGGUCCGUCCGUUUCCCUACCAAAGAGUCGUAGUAUGACUGGGCAGCAACCUUACUGAUUUCCACGUUCGUUUCCUCAGGGCAGUACUCAUCAUCCAGCCAUUUGUGCAGCGUCACCCUAAGCCACUCUGAUUCCUGGAGAGCCUUGGAAGGGAGCAACCAAUUGUCGGGAACACGUAGGUCUUGAACUUGCGCUUCGGGGUCAUCUUUAUCGUCUUCUUGGCUGCUUUGUGGAUGUGAAGGAGACUGAUAUCUGAAAAUGGUGGUCGAAAAUUGGGGUUGUUUGGGAGGCCGAAUCGGUUUUGAAUUAGAGGUGACAGGGAAAUGAAGCUCAACUAUAACAAUUGGGGGACUAAGACGGGUAAUUGAGGAAGGCAAGAUAAGAUUGUGGCAUUUUGAGGUUGAUAGUCGGCAUAGGUUCAUGGUUUCGAAUUUUAUUAUCCUUUGGCGGUGGCGGGAAGGCGAAAUGAGAGCAUUCAGUAUUCCAAAUUUUAGGUGGAGACUGCAA